This is an RNA transcript of Lytechinus pictus (painted urchin), 2673 nucleotides long. It is a transcript of the gene named UDP-glucuronosyltransferase 2C1-like, with no coding region annotated. Lineage: Eukaryota; Metazoa; Echinodermata; Echinoidea; Temnopleuroida; Toxopneustidae. The record is from RefSeq and is a predicted model, not a curated record. The transcript is spliced from 3 exons.
GAACAUGAGCAAAUGCAGCUGAGCUUUAAUAUUCGCCAUGUGUGCUAACUGACUACGUGAAUAGCCAAAGGACAAAGGAAAAAAUCAAUGAUCGCCAUCCGUCAUCAAUGUUACCCUUUGCGAAAGACAGAAUGGAUCAUCGAAGCUUUCCAAAUUUCCUUCAGAUAUAUCUUCUGAUUUGGGUGUGUGUAGAAGUUCAUUCGGCCCAUAUCCUAAUGUCGGGAUUUGUCGGGAAAGGAAGCCAUUUUCUUUGCCUCGUCCCGAUCGGGAAAAGCCUGGUACGUCAAGGUCAUAAUGUUUCAAUGCUCAUCAGUGACGAAUACAUGGACAGGGCCAACGACCCCGAACUCAGAAAAUUCUUCAAUUUCGAGAUCUACAAAAACACAGAUCCGCAAUAUUCUACUAGGGAAUAUUUUCAACUAAUGGAGGAGUUGGGCUACAGUGAAAAAGGAGACAUGGUUUCUUUUUUCAAAUCAUUGUCCUCAUUUAAAAAGAUUCUAAUAAAAACCUGCGAGUUUGUCAUGGAAGAUAAAGAAAUGAUGGAUCGUUUUGCGACGUUAGACGCGAUUGUGUCUGAUAUUGGUUGGCCAUGUUCUGGUCUGAUCAAGUUAUACCUGAAGAAAUUUUAUAAUAACACCGGUGUUCGUCUUGUUUUGGACACACCUACCACUCCUAAUAUAGCCAUGUUAGAUGCCUCAGGUUCUCAUUUUAACGCAGCCUAUCAGCCAGCUAUUAUGUCUGGCUUUACUUCCAAUAUGACCUUCAUUGAAAGAACUAUCAACGCACUGUCUGGAUAUAGUAUGAGACUGUUCAUCAUGUUGGCGGGAAAUGCGUUUUUUCCUCUCGCCGAUAAAUAUGGGUUGCGAGAUCAAACCCCCUCAUUGGAAUAUUCCCAAGCGGCCAUAGCUGAUCUGAGCCUAGGGAGUUUCGACUUUGCAAUCGAGUUUCCAUUUCCGAUAUCUCCAAGUUUGAUACCUGUGGGAGGUCUUACAGCUGAACCUCCGAAAGACCUUCCGCAAGACCUAGACGAUUUCAUCCAAAGUUCUGGAGAUGACGGUGUAAUAGUGUUCACCCUCGGUACCUACUUUGCAAGUUUUGCGACUUCCAGACCUCACCUGUUAAAGAUGUUCAUCGAUGCCUUGGCCAAGGUACCUCAGAAGGUCGUCGUGCAACUCAAGGUCAUGCCCCAGUACGACCUUCCAUCAAAUAUUAAAGCUUUACCAUGGCUACCUCAGAAUGACCUCCUUGGUCAUCCCAAGACUCGGCUCUUCAUAUACCACGGAGGCAACAACGGGUUCUAUGAAGCUGUUUAUCAUGGCGUACCUACCAUCGUUCUGCCGUUCUUUGGGGAUCAACUGGACACUGCCUCCAGAAUCACUUAUCACGGUAUGGGACUUAAACUUGACAAGAUGAUACUGAGCGUCGACUACAUUUAUAAUCACGUGAUUGAAGUUUUAGGAGACUAUAAAUACAGUGUAGCAGCCAAACGCCUUUCCGCCAUCUUGAGAGAUCGGCCAAUGACCCCUGCUGAUCGAGCUGCUUUCUGGAUCCAACACGUGAUCAAACAUGGCGGCGACUACCUACGAACUCCUGCUGAUGAUUUAUCAUUCAUUCAGUACAAUAUGAUUGAUGUAUAUGCAUUUCUUGUGGGUGUAGUUGUGACCAUAUUAUUUGUAUUUUACAAGAUUACACGGUGCUUCGUUGCUUGCUGUAUGGGAAAGAAAGGUAGUACUAAAGAGAAACGCCAGUGAAAAAAAAGAAGCGAUCGAAUUACAAAAUUUAACACAAAAUUGAUAUUUGCCAGAUUAAUUGUUAGGAGGGCAAUGCGCUCAAAAAUUUAAUGUGACGUCAUUAUUUUUAAAAUCUAAUUUUGCGGUUAUUAUAGAGUUAUAUAAAACCGACACCUGUCUUUUCAUUGCCCUUCUUUCUUUUUCCAUAUUCCCCAAUCUCUUUCACUACUUGUAUGAUCAAAGAGAGUGGUCACUCUCUUGCCUGAUGUCUUCAUUUCUCAGGAUAACAACAAUUAAAUUAUUAAAGCAGCUUCAGAACUUCCGAAGAGCUGCAUUGUGGAAGACGGUUUAUAAUUUAUCAAUGAAUAGAAUGAUCUAUAUACAUAUUCAGAGAAUAUGGUAGUGUUCUAAUACAAUUAGAAAAUACAAGGUUGGAGCAUUUCAUUUAUUGUAUGUAUUUAUAUAAUGAGAACAUGGAUUUUUGUAUGAAUCAUAAUACUAUCAGUAUCAUCAAUCUUAUUUUACAACUUUUUUGUUCAUAUUGGUUUCAUUCUCCUUUAACAAUUUCCCACCACUUCGCCUUAAACCGUCUGCAAAUACCCUGCCCUCAAAAUGAGCACAAAAAUUGAAAAAUAACUAGAAUUUUAAUUCGUCAUGAGGACGAAUUAGGUGAUCUGUCUCCGAUUUCAUGAUCAGGAAGACAAUCAGCAUGUUUAUUGAGAUCAAUAUGAUCAUCAUGAUGAAAACUGAACUUCUCUUACGAAAAGAACGUGUUGAAUACUCUUGAAAAAGAGGGAAAUGAAAAAGUUGUGUGAAAAAGUGUAGGUCAUACACAUAUUGUACAGGAACAUUGUACAUUAAAAGGGAUUUUAAUCUCGUUUAUUGUCCAAUGAUCUAUUUUAUAUACAUUGUAAUGGUCAUAAAGGACCAUUUGUGAAAUGUC